UUUUUCAAAAAAUCCGGUGAAAAGGGAAACAGGUGCAAAUCCUGUGCGAUCCCGUCACUGUAAAGGAGUUGGGCCAUUAUGCCACUGCCAUCUGGUGGGAAGGCGGCCCGGUGCACAAGCUCCUAAGCCAGGAGACCUGCCUGAGAAGU
Molecule: non-coding RNA, 149 nt
Filed under: bovine gut metagenome
Source: RNAcentral